GCAGAGCAUCCUACGGGAGGCAGCAGUGGGGAAUAUUGCACAAUGGGCGCAAGCCUGAUGCAGCCAUGCCGCGUGUAUGAAGAAGGCCUUCGGGUUGUAAAGUACUUUCAGCAGUGAGGAAGGUGGGUAUGUUAAUAGCAUAUUCAUUUGACGUUAGCUGCAGAAGAAGCACCGGCUAACUCCGUGCCAGCAGCCGCGGUAAUACGGAGGGUGCGAGCGUUAAUCGGAAUUACUGGGCGUAAAGCGCAUGCAGGUGGUUUGUUAAGUCAGAUGUGAAAGCCCGGGGCUCAACCUCGGAAUUGCAUUUGAAACUGGCAAACUAGAGUACUGUAGAGGGGGUAGAAUUUCAGGUGUAGCGGUGAAAUGCGUAGAGAUCUGAAGGAAUACCGGUGGCGAAGGCGGCCCCCUGGACAGAUACUGACACUCAGAUGCGAAAGCGUGGGGAGCAAACAGGAUUAGAUACCCUGGUCG
This 471-nucleotide ribosomal RNA is filed under the name uncultured bacterium. RNAcentral's name for it is "bacterial SSU rRNA". It matches the Rfam family "Bacterial small subunit ribosomal RNA", at positions 329 to 793 of the family's 1533-position model. The record is from RNAcentral.